Molecule: ribosomal RNA, 253 nt
Filed under: uncultured prokaryote
Description: partial 16S ribosomal RNA
Rfam family: Bacterial small subunit ribosomal RNA
Source: RNAcentral
ACGUAGGGCGCGAGCGUUGUCCGGAAUUAUUGGGCGUAAAGAGCUCGUAGGCGGUCUGUCGCGUCGGAUGUGAAAGCCCGGGGCUUAACCCCGGGUCUGCAUUCGAUACGGGCAGACUAGAGUGUGGUAGGGGAGAUCGGAAUUCCCAGUGUAGCGGUGAAAUGCGUAGAUAUUGGGAGGAACACCAGUGGCGAAGGCGGCUCACUGGACCGGUACUGACGCUGAGGCGCGAAAGCGUGGGGAGCAAACAGGA